RNAcentral lists this ribosomal RNA (406 nucleotides) under uncultured bacterium. Its description in RNAcentral is "partial 16S ribosomal RNA". It matches the Rfam family "Bacterial small subunit ribosomal RNA", at positions 30 to 526 of the family's 1533-position model. The record is from RNAcentral.
AUUGAACGCUGGCGGCAGGCCUAACACAUGCAAGUCGAGCGAGCGGCGGACGGGUGAGUAAUGUCUGGGAAACUGCCUGAUGGAGGGGGAUAACUACUGGAAACGGUAGCUAAUACCGCAUACCAUCAGAUGUGCCCAGCGGGGAUUAGCUAGUAGGCGGGGUAACGGCUCACCUAGGCGACGCUCCCUAGCUGGUCUGAGAGGAUGACCAGCCAGACUGUAACGGAGACACGGUCCAGACUCCUACGGGAGGCAGCAGUGGGGAAUAUGGCGCAAUGGGUGCAAGCCUGAUGCAUCCAUGCCGCGUGUGUGAAGAAGGCCUUCGGGUUGUAAAGCACUUUCAGCGGGGAGGCGUUACCCGCAGAAGAAGCACCGGCUAACUCCGUGCCAGCAGCCGCGGUAAUUC